GCUUUUGUGGUGUAAUGGUAGCACAUUCGGCGCGUGUUCGAAAGAUCCAGGUUCGAGUCCCGGCGAGGUCA
Molecule: transfer RNA, 71 nt
Filed under: Stegodyphus mimosarum
Lineage: Eukaryota; Metazoa; Arthropoda; Arachnida; Araneae; Eresidae
Rfam family: tRNA
About the family: Transfer RNA (tRNA) molecules are approximately 80 nucleotides in length. Their secondary structure includes four short double-helical elements and three loops (D, anti-codon, and T loops).
Source: Rfam by way of RNAcentral